GACGAACGCUGGCGGCGUGCUUAACACAUGCAAGUCGAACGAGGUCCAUGAAGUAGCAAUACUUCGGAAGACCUAGUGGCGAACGGGUGCGUAACACGUGAGGAACUUGUCCCGGUCUCUGGGAUAACAGUUGGAAACGACUGCUAAUACCGGAUGACGUCGGAGCGUCGCAUGGCGCGCUGACGAAAGGGUUACCGGAUCAGGAGAGCCUCGCGGCCUAUCCGCUUGUUGGCGGGGUAAUGGCCCAACAAGGCAUCGACGGGUAGCUGGUCUGAGAGGAUGAUCAGACACACUGGGGCUGAGACACGGCCCAGACUCCUACGGGAGGCAGCAGUGGGGAAUCUUGCGCAAUGGGCGACAGCCUGACGCAGCAACGCCGCGUGCGGGAAGAAGGCUCUCGGGUUGUAAACCGCUUUCAGCAGGAACGAAAAUGACGGUACUUGCAGAAGAAGGUGCGGCCAACUACGUGCCAGCCGCCGCCGUAA
RNAcentral lists this ribosomal RNA (485 nucleotides) under uncultured bacterium. RNAcentral's name for it is "partial 16S ribosomal RNA". It matches the Rfam family "Bacterial small subunit ribosomal RNA", at positions 28 to 523 of the family's 1533-position model. The record is from RNAcentral.